RNAcentral lists this ribosomal RNA (841 nucleotides) under uncultured Granulicatella sp. Its description in RNAcentral is "bacterial SSU rRNA". It matches the Rfam family "Bacterial small subunit ribosomal RNA", at positions 671 to 1512 of the family's 1533-position model. Lineage: Bacteria; Bacillati; Bacillota; Bacilli; Lactobacillales; Carnobacteriaceae. The record is from RNAcentral.
AUGUGUAGCGGUGAAAUGCGUAGAUAUAUGGAGGAACACCAGUGGCGAAGGCGACUCUCUGGUCUGUAACUGACGCUGAGGCUCGAAAGCGUGGGUAGCAAACAGGAUUAGAUACCCUGGUAGUCCACGCCGUAAACGAUGAGUGCUAAGUGUUGGAGGGUUUCCGCCCUUCAGUGCUGCAGUUAACGCAUUAAGCACUCCGCCUGGGGAGUACGACCGCAAGGUUGAAACUUAAAGGAAUUGACGGGGACCCGCACAAGCGGUGGAGCAUGUGGUUUAAUUCGAAGCAACGCGAAGAACCUUACCAAGUCUUGACAUCCUUUGACCACUCUAGAGAUAGAGCUUUCCCUUCGGGGACAAAGUGACAGGUGGUGCAUGGUUGUCGUCAGCUCGUGUCGUGAGAUGUUGGGUUAAGUCCCGCAACGAGCGCAACCCUUAUUACUAGUUGCCAGCAUUGAGUUGGGCACUCUAGUGAGACUGCCGGUGACAAACCGGAGGAAGGUGGGGAUGACGUCAAAUCAUCAUGCCCCUUAUGACUUGGGCUACACACGUGCUACAAUGGAUGGUACAACGAGCAGCGAACUCGCGAGGGUAAGCGAAUCUCUUAAAGCCAUUCUCAGUUCGGAUUGUAGGCUGCAACUCGCCUACAUGAAGCCGGAAUCGCUAGUAAUCGCGGAUCAGCACGCCGCGGUGAAUACGUUCCCGGGUCUUGUACACACCGCCCGUCACACCACGAGAGUUUGUAACACCCAAAGUCGGUGAGGUAACCUUAUGGAGCCAGCCGCCUAAGGUGGGAUAGAUGAUUGGGGUGAAGUCGUAACAAGGUAGCCGUAUCGGAAGG